CGAGCACGCGCGUGUGGCAUAUCAAUAAGCGGAGGAAAAGAAACUAACAAGGAUUCCCUUAGUAACGGCGAGUGAAGCGGGAAGAGCUCAAAUUUGAAAUCUUCAAGGUUCUACCUUGACGAAUUGUAGUUUAUAGAAGUGUUUUCUGUUAGUGGAGUGGCAAAAGUUCUUUGGAAUAGGACAUCAUAGAGGGUGAGAAUCCCGUAUUUUGUCAUUCCUCCUAGCGUUGUGAUACACUUUCAACGAGUCGGAUUGUUUGGGAAUGCAGUCCAAAAUGGGUGGUAAAUUUCAUCUAAAGCUAAAUAUUGGCGAGAGACCGAUAGCGAACAAGUACCGUGAGGGAAAGAUGAAAAGAACUUUGAAAAGAGAGUUAAACAGUACGUGAAAUUGUCAAAAGGGAAGCGUUUGACACCAGUGUUGUUUUUCCGAAAAUCACUUACGAAUAGUUUUCUAUUUUGAGGAGUAUUGACCUUAUCAGGCUUGCUCCUUUCUUUCUCGAAAUUAUUUAAUGCACUUUUCAGGUUAACAAGUCAACAUCAAUUUCUUUUGUUGUAAAAAGGGUAUGAGGAAGGUGGCUUUCUCUUCGGCGCAAGUGUUUAUAGCCUUGUAGCCUCUGCAAUCGGAGAGAUUGAGGUCUGCAGCGUAGAUCCUUCGGGGUUAGAUACGUUUGUGCUAAGUUAUAGCUUUUCAUAGACAACUUGUUGACUAUGUUUAGUCUUGUAGCUUACUCGCUGACGCUAUUUUACCUACGCUUAGGAUGUUGAACUCUAUCACACACA
RNAcentral lists this ribosomal RNA (779 nucleotides) under uncultured Neocallimastigales. RNAcentral describes it as "partial large subunit ribosomal RNA". It matches the Rfam family "Eukaryotic large subunit ribosomal RNA", at positions 19 to 615 of the family's 3401-position model. The record is from RNAcentral. Lineage: Eukaryota; Fungi; Neocallimastigomycota; Neocallimastigomycetes; Neocallimastigales.